GGUUUCCCUCUAAUAGUUCAAUUGAAGAAUACAUAUAGAUACAUCAUAGGGAGCCAUUGCGGCAACCUUGUGUUUUUGUCGUCAAUCUUGUCAGUACUUCUUUUUGGGUGCCUACCUUUUCCUUGUAAGUACACAUCAUCAUGUUGUCUUCAUGUCAACCUUUAUAUGUGUAUGCAUGCAUUAACUACUGAUGUACUAAUGAAAAUUAUAUUCCAAUAGGUAGUCUUGCACUCUCUAAGGUCAGGGAUACAAGAACCUACCAAAAUAAUCUAACCAAUAAAAAUUCAAAUGCUUUUGUGCUAAAAAACACAUUGGUAGCUAAGAUCAAUGUCACAUUGCACUUCUGUCUCAAGUAUCCCUACGGGGAGUUUAUGUGCCAUUGCUGUGAGAUCCAAAAGCUGGAGCAUAUUUGCCAUGCAACAAGGGAUGCUUGUUUGGACGCUUGCCCCACAUGCAACCUUGUUUGCCCCCCGUAGCCACAACUUCAAACCACUAAUGGAGAGAACAAUUAUUAAUGUAAUGGUGUGCAAUAUAUAUAAUCAUUAAAUAUUCUCCUAGCAUGUCUUCAGUUUGUCUGCAGCUAUUUUUUUAUUCAUGUCAUAUGUUGAUCUACUCUGUCACAGUUGUACCAAGAGAACGUCCCUACUACGACACAAGGGAGAAAGGUCUCCCUUAGAGGGUGCCUUCUUGGAGUCCACAAGUAGUGCUUUAUUGGCAGACAGCUCAUGGGCAGCCGCCACCUGGUCUGCCUCAUUGUCUUAGUCAUAGAAGUCUUCACAUCACCAUGCAAGAAGAGGACUCCGUUGGGAGUUGGCAUCUUUGGGAUGAGGUAGGUGUGGUUAGGGAUCACCAAGAACAUGGUGAGCAUUGGCUUGCCGAAGAUGGCGUGGCAGGACGUCUUGAAGUUGGCCACCUCGAAUGUGAGGUGCUCGAUGCGGUAGUUGUCUUGUGUCCUGAAUGUGACAUGGAGUGUGACUCUCCUAACCGAGUAUGAUCCCUUAUAGGGAUGAUACCGAAGAAGGGUGGUCACGGGGCACCAAUUUGGUGAGGUCGUACUGCAUGCACUCUAGGGUCUUGGUGAAGAUGAUGUUGAGGCCAUUGCCUCUGUUGAUCUUAGUGAGAAGAACUCUACAGACACUAGGCCCAAAGGUUGAGUAUGUGGAUCCAGUAAUCAGCCUAGGAAAAGACUAUAGCCAUUUCUAACUAGUGGAGGUACUGGACAAGGGUGGUGGAGACCAUGUUGAUCUCUCAGCUGUGGAGCUUCUUCUUUGGGCAACAUUCGAAAGCACUCGGGCCUCCGAUUAUGAUGUGUACUUCCCACUCUAGGAGCUGGCCAAGUCUUUGUUGGCCUGACUUGGAGGCUACCUGUCGCACCAGUCAUGUUUAUUGCAAUCGUCACAGCCGUGCAGUCGUCAUCGAGCUCGUAUUUACAGUGGGGCCUCUUGUUUGGUGCUUUGUUGCUUGCGUGGCGACUUCUUUCUUUCAGGGUGGAGCAUUCCUUGAGUGUGGCUUUGCAUCCUUGUGCCACGGGUAGGACCUAUUAAGCAUGACGUCCAAUUACUUUUGGAAGAAAGUCGAACUUGAUUUCCCAAGCUCAGCGGCAGCCUCUGUGUUGUCAGCCACCUCAUUACCCACGAGAAACUGGAGAUCCUAUAUAACUUCUGAAAUUUUUUUCUUCCCCAACUUCCAUAAUUGGAUAUUCAUGCAACGACUAAGAUCGUGGGUGGGUGCAUGUGCAUAUCAGGUUUUCUGAGCAAGUGGGCGCAGAUGUGGAGAGUACAAUGGACAGGUGUUUAGCACCAGGUUGGAGGAAGCGGAAGAGAAUCUCUUCGAGUUUUGAACUUCAAAUGCGAUUUUCUCUUAAACCGUAAAUUUGUUUCAAAAUUCGUUUGAACCACUAUGUUAUAUGAAUUUAAUAGAAUAAAUUGGGAUCCAAUAUGUUAUUUUAAAAAUUUUAUUUCUACACUUCAACAUUUCAAUAUACUAGUUCAACAUUCUUAACAUGUCAUUUCAACAUUGUUAAUGUACUAGUUCAACAUUUUUCUAAAAAUAUUGAAUUAAUUUUUCAUAGUGUUAAAUCAGUUUCUUUGAAAUGUUGGCUUAGUUUGACAAAAAUGUUGAAUCUAUUGUUACUAGUAUCAUAGGAGAAAAACUUAAGGUUGCGUUUGGAUGUAGAUAUUCAGGCUUGGAAUUCGGAAUUGUAUUGACACCUCCGAAUGCCGGCUGUUUGGAUGUCGUGGAAUUCGAAAUUGGAAAUGAAGCUCAAUACCAACUUGUAUUCAUCCCACCUUCAUCCCCUCACCCUCAAUGCUGAGCCCGAACCCUCUGUAUUCGCUGGUAUUGUCUUCUUCCCUUCCCCGCAUCUCUCUCGCGCGCCCUUCCUCCUGUGUGAGCUGCGCCUUCGCUCUCCCCUCUCCCUCCCUCCACCGGUGACUUGCGCUGCCCUCUCCUCCCUCCGCUGAUGAGGCGAGCUGAGCCUCCCUCCCCCUCCCUCCGUCCGCAGGCCGCACCCUCCGCCUCCCUCCCUCCGCCGGUGACUCACGCCACCCUCUCCUCCCUCUACUAGUAAGGCGAGCUGCGCCGCCCUUCCCCUCCCUCAGUGUGCAAGCCAUGCUGCCCUGUGCCUCCCUCCCUCCGCCGGCGAGCCACGCCAUCCGUCUAUUCCAUGGACGGGGGAUCUGGAUGGCUUGGAGGAGCUCCGGGGCAGGAAGUUCAAGCACGGCUGCGGCAAAGAGGAGCGUCACGGCGAGGCUUCUCUAUCUCCCACCUCUCUCCCAUGCGGCCAUGCCUGGGGCGGCAACAGGUGCUCAACUCCUAGCGCCAGCAGCGUGCCGCUCCCCUUUGCCGCUGAGCUAGGGGCCGUGUUGCUUCCUUCCGCCACCAGACCGGGCGCUCCUCCCUCCAAUGGAUGCGUCGUUCCCCUCUCUUCAUUGGCGGCGGCAUUGAGUUUGACCGAGUAGAGGCUCCUCGGCGGUGAAGGACGAGUGGCGCAUCGAGCUUGACCGGGCUGUUGGACGGUGGAGAGAGGAUAGAUGACCAAAUUCCAAUUGCUUCCUUUUGCACAUCCAAACGUGAAAUUGAAUUUCACUGCUUCUUACGAUUUCAAAAAAGGAAAUGCAAUAGCCAUCCAAACAAUAGAAUUGGAAUUCUAGCCAUUUCAAUACUAUGGUUGAAUUGGUAUUGGAUCCAAUUCAAUGCCAAAAUCUCCAAUAUCAACAUCCAAACGCACCCUAAAUGAAAUCUUAAUACAAAAAUAAUCAAAUCACCAUGCAUGACUAACGUGAGUGGAUGAGCCCUGUGCUGAUGCCGAAUUGAGCGUAGCUCAACUAUAAGGCUCCUUAUGGUGGAACCUGCCACCGGAGUUCGAGUACUUGCCUCGACAACUCGCAUUUUUCUAAAUUUAUUUCAUGAUUUAACCGGCGCAAUUCUUUCAGUGGUAGGUGAUAUGCCCCUCGACACUGAGGCGUCAGUGGUGACUUUGUUAAUCUCGAGGAUUUGCCGGAUCAGUCUUUUGAAGGUGCUCAUAGGGGUAGGGUUGCAUAUGUGUGUUCGUAGAGGUGAGUGUGUAUACGUGUAUAUAUCUGCAUCUGUACGGUGUGAUUCGAAAAAAAGGCCCUGUGUUGAUGAUUGGCGGCUUGCUUUCGCAUAUACACCGCUGCGUUCCGUGGGCUGAUGUUGGGUUUUAUUGGUAUUUAUAGUUAUAUUCCUUAUACAACUUGGGGAAGCUAUAUAGAGCCCCCGAGAAACAUCCUGAAAUAGAGGUUCUCAAUAUAGAAAAGGGGAAACAAGGAGAGAGGCUUGCCAGAUUGUUGGCCCAUGAUACAGUAUGCAUAAGUAAAACCUGAACGGGCUGGAUUAUCCGGGUUUGAUAGUGCAACAUAGUAGGCAUAACUUUGGCCCAUCCUAAAUCUACUUUGUACAUGAGAGUUGACACCACCUACGAGCCCAAUCAAAGUUGGAAGGUAGGCAUCCAUUGCUGCUGCUGCUGCUUCUUCUUUUUCUCCCCUAUUUUUUCCAUUUCUUUUUUUUUUUUUGGUUCUCACUUGGCCGCCUUUUGUACUUGAGCAUCACAGUCAAUGUAGAGCCCAAGAAUCUAAGAUCAUUGUGUUUCAUGUCUUAAUGCUAUUGGUACCUUGCUGUGAAUCUUCCUUUUGCCUCGCUAGCACUUCUAUGCAUAAACGCAUCGACCCCUAGUACAUUUCUUAAUGAAAAAGUGUGAUUUAUAAACAUGACCUAUUGGGUCGUGUGAAUUAAAAUCAUGAUCCUUCAAGAGUUACUACCUUCCAUUUUUUAACAUCUUGGUACCAACAUUCAAAUUACAUUUUUUGAUGCCUCUGAAUUGCAAGACCGGAACAAGGUUCAUCGGAAAAUAUACAAAGGACAAAAUUGUGACUUCAAGAACUAGACGAUCAUAUAGUGCGUGGAGCAUUUUCGUUCACUUCCCUUAGCCGGCGAUCAUGUUGUGCUUGCGCAAAAGGAAAGUUGGUGAGUGGAUUCGAGAGGGAAUAUGAGAUGAUGGAGAACGUGCCUAGUAGUGCGAGGUAGCUGGUGCGGGGAACGAAUGGACACGGAUCCGACGUCGCAUCAAAGGCCAGAACCGACCGAAACUGAGUGCACUAGCGUAGUACGAUCGAAGGACAAUGACAAUGAACAACAUGUCCAGUUGACGGUGUGGUUCGUCCUGUCGUUCGUUGACAUGCCCUUUUCCUCUUCGAUAAUACAACUGGCAUAGCCGCCUAACUAUUUCAGAGCCAGAUUCAGCAAGUUCAUGCAGAUGGAGGCCUGGAGCCCUUCAUCGGCCAUUCGGCACAACGCACUUGAUGAUUCUGAAGGUUACCAAACGGUCGAAAAGAAAACGAAAUGUUGCAGAAUAUAACCACAAGCACCAUCUGCAUAUCCCGAUCACCAACGGAUGCAUACAUCUUUCAUGCUUUUCAACGGUACAAAGGGAGACCACAUUCUACUCGACCAUACUAGUUAGUUUCAGAGCCUAAAGAGCAAAAGGGUACCAAGUGUCGUUCCUUUUGUGAAUUGUGAUCCUUAAGAAUACAUGCAACACCAUUCUCUGAAUCUCUGAAUCUUUGUGUAGCGUGAACUUGUGCCUUGUGAUCUGUACGAAUACCAUGCAAGACCAUUAUUCGAGAGAGAUUUAUAUGGCAAACAGUACAAAUUUUACUUCAGUCCCAAAUUUUAUCUGGGGGUUAGUGGCUUUGUGCCCAUCGUUGAGAAAUAUAUUGUUUAAUUGCCCUUUGUUGACGAUGCACAAGCUCACGGUACACAAAGGCAUUUGUGCUAUCUAUCCACUCUGUUCUCGACUCAAUGCAAGAUAGUGGCCUUGAAGAUGGCGAUUAGCCCAUGCCCCGUCAGCGCCACGUUCCCCACGUUUGCCAGAGCUGUUAAAUUACUGUAAAAUCACAAGCCAAAAAGGAGCACAAAAGCAAACACCAAGUGAAAAAUGCAUCCGCCUGCUUGCUGGUGACUUGCGUGUUCCACGCCCCAGGCAGCAAAACCAAACCAGGUGGUGGUGCAGGUUUCUGGCAUUUCCUAGUAAAAUAUGACGACCCCCUCCGCCUCCAAUUGUCUGAUCUCCAGGGGGGGAUUAAAAGUGAUCGUCGCUGAAUUCAGAGAAAACAUAUGGCCCCAAAGCCCUGACCUUCCGCUUCCAGCGCCUAAAUUUUUUUUUUUAAAAAAAAACAGCACAGGCCCGGCACGCGCUGCACUCCGGCCACCGGCGCCGCAUUAUAAAUAGCACCCCCUCGCCUCUGCUUCCGGGCACCCCCCCAUCAAUUCUCUUCUUGUUCUUGCUAGUUGCUACGCCUGUGUGAUUAGGGGAGAGCUAGCAAUGAGGGCGCUCGGAAGGGUUGCUUGGGCGUGGCUGCUGCUCCUGCAGCUCGCCGGCGCGUCCCAUGUCGUCUACGAGAACCUCCUCGAGGUGGAGGAGGCGGCGGCGGCGGCCGUGCCGCCCUCCAUUAUCGACCCCCUGCUGAGGACCGGGUACCACUUCCAGCCCCGCAAGAACUGGAUCAAUGGUAAUGUUAAACCUGCUCGCUUGCUGCCUUGGUCGAGGUUGAACAUCCAAAAAUUUUCGAAGUUUGACGGCCCACCAAACCAGUUUAGGCUUUAGGACACUGUAUUUGCACAAAAGGAACCGAUAGCGAGUAAUGUUCCGUUGUUCUUCUGUCACUGAGACACAAUGGAACAAGUCAUGCAGGUUAUUAACUAGACAGUUUUUCUUAAGAUGAUACGUGAACUUCCCCUGAAGUAAGAGGAUAAACCUUCUUCAGGGUUUUGACUUAUCACCUGUAGGCUUAUGUCAGGGGAAGCUCAAUAUAUCACCCUUGACAGGUUUAUGCACAGACAGAACAUUGAUUUGACUGUGAGCUCAGGCAUGCUUGUCAGUUGUCACAACAGAAAUCAGGACCUGUACACUUGACGGUUAACCCAUCAACACAACUAAAACCUCAAAUUUUGUUCAUGCUCAUAAUACUAGAGUAUGCCAGUGCUGUCUACCAGUCUCUGGCAGGAACCGCUGUUAACUGAAGAAGUUUUCAGUGCUGCCUACCUGUACACUUGGCAGGAACCAUGCAUUUACCAGUCUAUGUAGGUUGCUAGCUCUACUUUUGUUGCUUUUCUGUUCUCGGAUUUAAUAGUGGCUGUUGCCAAGGUUAGGCUCUAACUCGAUUUUCUAAUCAUCUCGGUGGGCUGGUGUGCGCUCUGACUGCAUCCGCGACGAAACUUUUGGAACGCCACAGAUCCCAACGGUACGUCGCUUUCCUUCCCUUUAAACUUUCUGUCACAAAUCUCUGCCGUUUGAAGUUGUUAUAUUUCUGCUAGAUUUAUGUAUAUGUCUUCGCAACUUGCAAAUUCAUUUGCUGUUUUGCACGGCAGAGUACGGUGUUGCCCUUUUCUGAAACGACGAAAUAGGAUCACAUCACAUUUAGUAUUCAACUGGUAGGCAAAUCGAGCUCCGCAUGUAGGCACUAGGCAAGCAUACCUGUUGACCAUGGUCACAAAGAUAGAGAUGAACAAAAUUUAGUUUCCUCAAAAAAUGGCAGCAUGAAUAAUUGUUUGCUGGCUCCAUAAUAGUAAUAUGUUAAUCGGUGUUCCUAAUCUUAACAGCUGGAAAUAAAACUUAUACACUUAUCUAGUGACGUCAAAUUUUGUAUUUUAUUUUCCUCAUAAUUAAGGAGAAAAUUGGAUUUGAUAUCUCUGCAGCUCCACUGUACUACAAGGGGUGGUACCAUCUCUUCUAUCAGUACAACCCCAAGGGCGCCGUGUGGGGCAACAUCGUGUGGGCGCACUCGGUGUCGCGUGACCUCAUCAACUGGAUGGCACUGAAGCCGGCGAUCGAGCCCAGCAUCGCGUCCGACAAGUACGGCUGCUGGUCGGGCUCGGCGACCAUGCUCCCCGACGGCACGCCGACGAUCAUGUACACGGGCGUCAACCGCCCCGACGUCAACUACCAGGUCCAGAACGUGGCCUACCCGCGGAACAAGUCGGACCCGCUGCUCCGGGAGUGGGACAAGCCCUCGCACAACCCCAUCAUCGUGCCCAAGGCCGGCAUCAACGCGACGCAGUUCCGCGACCCCACCACCGCGUGGCGCGCCGGCGGCCACUGGCGGCUGCUCAUCGGCAGCGUGACGGGCCCCGCCCACGGCGUGGCGUACGUGUACCGGAGCCGCGACUUCAAGCGGUGGACGCGGGUGGAGCGGCCGCUGCACUCGGCGGCGACGGGGAUGUGGGAGUGCCCGGACUUUUACCCCGUCGAGGCCGCCGGCCGCCGCGAGGGGCUGGACACGUCGGUGUCCGGCCGGCGGGCGAGGAAGUACGUGCUGAAGAACAGCCUCGACCUGCGGCGGUACGACUACUACACCGUCGGCACGUACGACCGGAGGGCCGAGCGGUACGUGCCCGACGACCCCGCCGGCGACGAGCGCCACCUGCGGUACGACUACGGCAACUUCUACGCGUCCAAGACGUUCUACGACCCGGCGAAGCGGCGCCGGAUCCUCUGGGGCUGGGCCAACGAGUCCGACACCUCCGCCGACGACGUCGCCAAGGGCUGGGCUGGGAUUCAGGUUGGUUUACAUGCGUUCUUCCAUGGCUAGAUGUCGAUCAAUCAUGCAUGGCGUCAUGCAUUUUCGGUGCUCCAUAUCAGGCGAUUCCAAGGACGGUGUGGCUGGACCCCAGCGGGAAGCAGCUGCUGCAGUGGCCGAUCGAGGAGGUCGAGGCGCUCAGAGGCAAGUCGGUCACUGUCAAGGACAGGGUGAUCAAGCCAGGACAGCACGUCGAGGUCACCGGGCUACAAACUGCACAGGUCUGUCAUGCUUACAACUUGCAGUCCUUUUCACUUGGCAGUCCAUGCAUGUACGUUUUGCCUGCCGAUGGAUAGAUAUAUUUUUCCAAAGAACCAAAAGGAAUAACAGCACUACUGGCAUCAACCCUGAUCUGCGAAUCGCAGCACGAUGUCAUCCUGGCUCACAAUCCCUUAUCUACUGCCAGUGCUUAGAACGCACAAGCCGAUCGUGCCCAGCGUGCAGCCCCGCGCGGCCACUAGCUGCCCUCGCCCGUCGCCUUUCCUACGUGCCAUCUACGUCGCCCACCCAUUUUUCACCGCACCUUUUGCCGUCAUCACCACUCACCUUCAUGGCACUAUCACAAGUACCAGGAGCUAGUCCUUUACCUUUAGAAUCCUUUUCUUCUCCAGUUGCGAUGUGAUGAUGAGUUAGGAACUAACCUCGGCGUGCGCGCACUUUGUGCGCUCUUGCUGUGCAGGCUGACGUGGAGGUGACCUUCGAGGUGUCGAGCCUGGCGGGCGCCGAGUCGCUGGACCCAGAGCUUGCCGGCGACGCGCAGCGGCUGUGCGGUGCCAGGGGUGCCGCCGUGGAGGGUGGCGUCGGGCCGUUCGGGCUGUGGGUGCUCGCCUCCGCCGACCGGCAGGAGAGGACCGCCGUGUUCUUCAGGUUGUUCAGGCCCGCGCGCGGCGGCGACAAGCCCGUCGUGCUCAUGUGCACCGACCCCACUAAGUAAGUGCGCGCGCGCACUGGCAUCGAUCGAUGACACGUUGGCAUGUAGUCAGCCACGAGUUUUUCGUGUGCUCACCUUCUAACGCACUUGACUAGUUGACUGCACUGACUUGGGUUUCCGUUUUGUUUUUUCUUGGGCAGGUCGUCUCUGAACCCAAACCUGUACCAGCCGACGUUUGCAGGUUUUGUUGAUACAGACAUUUCAGAUGGGAAGAUCUCUCUGAGAAGCCUGGUAUGCACACAGUUAAACGAAGUUUCAGAAGCUUAGACAAUUUUGUUUCCUUAACUAAUUAGGUGUUUAUUUGGACGCUUAAUUAUUUUCUCUGCAGAUCGACCGGUCGGUUGUGGAGAGCUUUGGAGCCGGGGGCAAGACCUGCAUCCUCUCGCGGGUCUACCCGUCGCUCGCCACCGGCAAGAACGCUCGCCUCUACGUGUUCAACGGCGGGAAGGCGGACGUCAAGGUGUCCCGUCUGACGGCGUGGGAGAUGAAGAAGCCACUCAUGAAUGGCGCCUGAAGUAUUACAAGCAUGCGAGCUCCCAUGGUGUCUCGUCCACAUUUGGCGUGUCUUUCCUUUUCAUUUCAGGUGUUUCCACGUUUCCAUUGAUUGUUAGGGAUAAUGGACCGUGCUCCUUAAUUUGUACAAUGGCUUGUGCUGUGCUUUAAUCUAUGAGUACGAUUUCACUCACAGAAAAAUGAGUAUGAUUGUGUAUGAAGGUGCCAAUUCAUAUGCCACUAGCUACGAAUAAGAAACAUUUAUACAUGUUCUGGGUGCGCAUUGACGAUAAACCGGUGCUAGUUUAAUUUGUAAGCUGGUCUCUCAGUACAGGUUGUCAAUUACUGAUGAAGGACUGUGCUAUCUUAUACUGUGGGCCUUUUCAAACAAGAUAAAACAAAAAUUGUCAAUGGUCUCAUGCUAAAUGACCAAAAUAUGGUAUCAUUUUCGUCCUUGAUUCUUUUACCAAGUUGUGGCUCCUUUGUCAGUUGCACCUAUCAUCGCCAAAAACUUCCUGCUCCAUAAAAUUCAUAACCUCGCAUGGCUUCAAUUACCAGAUAGAACAUUAUGCUUAUAGGUUAAACUAAGCAUCCUAGGUAGGUCAAAAUAAAGCCUCAUCCUGAUAGCAUUUCCCCAUUCUCUAUUCAGCUGCAGUGGUGCACAAUGCAGUAGUACUUCCUCCCAUGUCCAUUAUUCUUCACACAAGUGCAGCCUAGGUAGGUAAAAGCCUCAUCCUGAUAGCAUUUGACCUUUUUUUUCUCAGUAGCAUGAAACACUAGUAUAUAUUCCUUCAUUUGAGCCACCAAUUCGUAUACAUUCUUCCUCCCAAAGUAAAAGUAUCAUACAGCUUUCUGGGUGGACUAACAAGUUACAUCAGGGAUUGCACUUGCGCUACCUUUCCUCGGAAGACAAAAGGAGAUAAACUUAGAGCGGUUAUUAGGCCAACAGGGCAUCGGAAAAGUUGAUCAGGGUAAGAUAUAAAGAUAAGCCUAGUGCACAUAUAUUUAAAGGCGUAGCAGCCAUGUUACAUUACGAGGAAAACGCACUUGUACAAUGUCUCUGUACACACUUGGCAAUGUCCAGUUUGUCUCCACGAGUGCCACCGGAUCAUAUACAACAUAAAAUGGAAAGGUGCUCCCUAGUUCUAAAAAGAUGUUGUUUAUGUGUGCCGUCAAAUUUUAGAAUUUUUUAUACAAAAUCAUUAAAAUUUGUCAUGUGGAACUAGCCACUACUACAAAACUGAUUUGUAAGAACCUCUUUUAGCCACCCACUCUGACUGAAGACCUGUUGAAAUGCAUGAUAUCCACAUGCACAAACUAAACUACUACCUCCGUCCCAAAUUACUAUUCGUUUACAUCACUUUUGCCAUGUAUCUAGAUAUAAGUAUAUAUGUAGGUGCAUGUUAAAAUGUGUGUAUAUAGAAAAAACAAAACGAAUAGUAAUUUAGGAUGGAGAGAGUACAUGUGAAAAAACAAUUUUUACAGUUAGUUCACUUCAGGAACCACAUGUACUAAUAUCUUUUACAGGCGGUUCCUUAAUGCGCUUAAGUAACUAUCUAGAUGUAUACCACAAGUAGUUAGUAUAAGGACCGGACUAGUCUAUAUAUUUUCCCGAACCUGAAAUUGAUACAUAUUUUAUUCUCUCCAGAUUUCAACACAUUUUCAAUACUAUAUCCAAACACCAUUUCAUCACAAAUUACAAAGAUAGACUUUUAGGACAAAGCUAGUACUAACUAACUUCUUCACGUUAAUUGACCUUAAUGAUGUUGGAAGCAACUUUUUGUAACAUGAGCAUAAAUGAUGUUGGAUAAGUACGUGUUCAAGGGGAAGUGCAAUGAAAUAGGACUAUAAGGCUUCAUGUGGAUACUUAUACCUUCAAAAUAGGUACUUAAGAACCCAUAACAGGAUCAGCCUAAGAAAGCCCAUGUACAGGUUGAAAGUUUAGUCAUAAUACCUAGAAUGAAAUGCACUGAGAUUGGAAAACGUACCAACGGAGAAUGCACUCUGUUAGAGUUGUACACAAUAAAAAAAAUCAAUGAAGUUUUCCCGCAAAAAAAAAUCAAUGAAGUUGAGAGGCAUCUGACUGCAUUGUUUUUGUGUUUUCUUAUUCUUGUUUUAGCAUGGUAACCUGAUUUACAUGUAACAGGCAUGGCAAUGGCAUAUUGUUCUAGAAAAAAAAAUAGUCCCAUCCUCAGCCUCGGCUGCAUGAGAAGGUGCUGCGAAAGAAAAGUUAGGUCGAAUGUAGAGACAACAUAGCGAUAGAGAACGUGCAUAGUGGGCGGAGGUAGAGCUCGAAAAGGAAUGGAAACGGAAAUCGCACUCAAAUGUUAGAACCCGAACUGAGAGCAAAGGACAACGAACAAGAGGCCUAGUUGAGUUGAGACUUGACAGAAAGUUUCUCGUUGUGUUGACACUUGACAGUGCUUUUUCCUUUUCGAGGACACAUUGCCAAGAUUCCAGCGAGUUGCCAUGUGCCCACGCACGUAGAUGAAGGCUGUGCUAUCAUUGUGCUGCGCAUAAGCUUAUUACUGAUGCCGACGGGUACUAAACUAAAGGGAAAAAGCGAAGGUGCAUAAGCAUAUAUAUUCCGCAACCAUUAGGGAACAUUAACGGUUUUCAGUGGUAUAAAUAAAAACAUAUAUAUUACCUCUGAAUAUAAAACACCAUUGACUAUUUUUUUCAUUUAACUAUUCAUCUUUAAAAAUAUUUAUACAACAUGAUAAAAGUACUUUUUAAUGAUAGAUGUAAUGAUAAUCAUUUUACUUUAUUUAGCUAAUUCAUUAAAUAAAUAUUAUUUAUCAAACUUUGAGAAAAAUUAGAUCGUGUCAUAUAUUUAAGAACAACUAUUUGAAGACAGAGAUAGUACUUUACAUAAACACCAUUCUACUCUAUUAUAUGACAUAGUGUGUCAACCCGCACGAAGAAAAUGCUACGCGAACCUCAACCGGUUUCAAUAAGAUACUGAUGUCAGCUAGGAGGUAAAGAAAAAACCUCGGCCAAGAUGCGUAAUUUUUUUUUCUGCAAAACACAAGAUAGACGCAAAUGCCCACAUAUGCACACGCACGCUCACUUUUAUGAAUACAUGUAACACUAUCCCUAUAAGCAUCUCCAAGUGACUGAACUAACAGGUCUUGAGAUUAAAGAAGUCACCACGGGCAUCUGAUGGGCAUAUCACCUACCACUGAAAGACUAGAAUCGUUAAUUCCUGAAAUAAGUCUAGAAAAAUACAAGCACAUAUGCCAGAUCGAGGACUCGAACUUGAGUUGGCAGGGUUCAUUACAAGAAAUCUCUAAAACCUUAAGUUGAUGGAAAAAGAUUAGCAGUUCAAUUAUACUUCAGCAUUCCCGCUCAAGCAUAGGCGUUGUCAGGCCUUAGACGUGAAUAAUAAGAGCGGGCAACAAUUUUUUUUUUUGUUAAACUUCACUUCUAGGAAUGAUAUUGCAUUUGUCUCUAAUACCAAUUUAGCUGCAUGUAUCAAUUAGUUAAUUAUUACACCUGUAAUCCUAAGUUGAUAGUUGAUAGAAAAAAUGAGCAAUUUACUUAUAUUUCAACAGAAAUAUCUUGUGUGCUCUCCUUUUAUGGUGUCCAUGUUAAUCCUUACAAGAUAUAAUAGAAAAAUAGAAAACCUAAAGGACAUAUUUUAGUAAGCUUCUUCAGCAAAAAAUCAUGUACUAGCCAAUACACUAAAACACUUUGCAUAUCCUUGGAAGACGGGUCAGUCUAACUGAGUACCUUUAUACUCAAGGUAGUGGCGAAGCUAGAGUAAAUUAGUGGGGGAUGCAUUUGCCUUGUGGGUGCAUAGUGUUGAGCUAAGGAGGGUACAUGUAUGGUGAAAAUUUAAGCAUAAUCACUAUUUUUGUAAAAUUUAGGGGUGCAUUAGCACCCACUAAUCAUAGUGUAGCUUCACCCCUAACUCAAAGUAUCUUUAACUUGUGGCAGAAGAUUCCACUGAAGCCAGGUGAAGAGGUGCUUAUGAUGAACAAGAACAUAUUGUUGAGUCCAAUAUAUUCUUGCAAAUACGUUCUUGAUUAUUGUAUAAUUAAAGUUUUACAACAAUAUUGUUCCCGACUAAGUUUGUUUCGAAAACCUCUUAGACUGGUUUGACCAACACUUUAAGGGGGUGUUUGGCAACACACACCUAAACUUUAGUACCUGUCACAUCGGAUGUUUGGAUACUAAUUAGAAGUAUUAAAUAUAGUCUAAUUACAAAACUAAUUGCACAGAUGGAGUCUAAUUCGCGAGACGAAUCUAUUAAGCCUAAUUAGUCCAUGAUUUGAUAAUGUGGUGCUACAGUAACCAUUUUCUAAUGAUGGAUUAAUUAGGCUUAAUAGAUUCGUCUCGUGAAUUAGUAUAGGGGUUCUGCAGUUAGUUUUAUAAUUAGCUCAUAUUUAGUCCUUCUAAUUAGCGUCCGAACAUCCGAUGUGACCCUCCUAAAGUUUAGUAUCUCGUAUCCAAACAACCCCUAAGUUUCUUAUGGUUUGUAAUAAAUUGUAUCUCUAUAAAUCAUUUAUGUAAAAAAUUUGAUGUAUAUUGUGAGUUUCUCUUCGCAAAAGCAGUCCUGAAUGCAUGGUUAAGAUGACAGUUCUAACGUGGAUGAUUCGGGAUUGUCCCGAUGACACCUCAUGAAUUGCCAAAUUUACAUUGUUUCAAGAGCGUUGGCAAUAGUUACCGAUGCGGUGGUGAUUAGGGGCACCGGCACUUGAGCCGUUUUAAAUGUAGGAGUACAACUUGAUGGACAACUAUUUAUUGUUCAAAAGCAUAGAUGGUUAUUGUUACACGUAUGUGCUAAAAGCAAUGGUAGGAAUGUAGUUUAAGUGCUGAAGCUAUAAAAAAAAAAGUAACUCAGUGGACAUGACUAACUAACAGGUACUUCCUCGUUCCACAUUACAAGGCAUUUCAACUUCUUGGAGAGUCAAAGCAUCUCAAGUUUGACCAAAUUUAUACAAUAAAAUACUAACAUUCAUGAUACCUAAUAGGUACCAUUAGUUUCUUCAUUAAAUAUAUUUUCAUAAUAUAUCUAUUCCGUGCCAUAAACUUUUGUGAUCUUCUUUAUAAUUUUAGUCGAACAUAAAUUGGUUUGACUUUUUAAGAAAGUUAGAAUAACUUAUAACUUAUAAUUUUCUAUUUUCUUAUGUCCUCGGAAGUUACUCGGCGCCACGUUCCCCACGUUUAACAGGGCAGGUAAGUGUCGAAAUCAAGUGCUAAAAUUACCGCGCGCCAUCAGAAGAGAUCACACUAUUACAGAACAUAAACCAAGGGAAAAUUUUCUUCUGAUUAGGUGCGGGUGAACUACGAUUUUCCACACACGCCGAAAGCAAAUAAAACAAACCAGGUUUCACAUCGUAAAGAAAAAAAAUGCAGCCUGAUAGAGUCGUGAACAUUUCGACAAAAUCUGCAGAUUUUCCAGCAACCCCUUGUCAGAUACGACGACCUGCUGCUCUCCGCGGAAAAAAAUUCCAAGAGGACGGUGCCCAAACUUCUGUUCGUGAGAAUCCACCCUGGAUGUGCGACGCGUGGCUACUGCUGCCAUCCGAUGCACAUGCUCGUGAGGCUCGACAGGCUCGGCUUGCAUACCUUGGCUCACAGGCUCCAGGCUUCGAUACAGCCAAGCGAGGAUCCUGGAACCUGCCGCCGCCAUCGUCCCCUCAUCCACUGCUGCAGCUCGUCUGCCGGAGCCCCUAGCGUCCGCGGCCGCAGCUCCCUUGGACGGCCUCCUCCGAGAUCUCGUCAUCCCCGCACGCGGCCUCGAUCUCGGCGUGGAGCCUCUCCUAGACCGCCAUGAUCCACUGCAGAGCCGUCGAGGUGGUGCGGGUCCCAACGUUGAGGAACUCAGAGCAGAGCGUUACGAUCUCGUCGUCGGUGAGCGGGCGGUUGCGCUCCUCAGGGACAAGCAACCUGAUGUCGAGUGCCGGAACGUGGUCUCGUUCGCCGGCGCCGCCUUGCCUUCCUGCAUGAGCCGCUGCUUGUACUCCCGCGGCGCGUUGAUCAGCGGCAUGAAGAGCUCCUUCUGGUGCCGCCUUAGGGCGCGUCCAGUCUCGAGGUGCCCGCGGAAAACGUGCUUGGUGACGGACGGGAGGAAGAAGAAGAGCCCAUCUGUCUGGGGCUGGAUAUGUACGUGAGCCAGGCGUGCUCGGCGUCCUCCAUGGUGUGCACCACCGGCUCGUCGAGCCUCUCGCUGAAGCACAUGAUCACGAGGAGGCAGAACACCGUGUACUGGAACGCGUCCAUGACGUUGCCGGGCGCGUCACCCGACUCCCGCAGCUUCUCCAUGAGGACGCAGCGCACCCAGGCGCGCGCCGGAGCAAACUGCCUGACGCGCGACGGGUGGAGCGCCUCGCCGACGAGGUUGCGCCGCAGGAGGCUCCAGAUGGGCCCGUAAUCGGUGCGGGUGAUGAUGCUGUCGCUCACGCUGAGGAGCACGUUCAGCGUGCCUGACGUCCAAGGGAGCUGCGGCCGCGGACGCUAGGGCUCUGGCAGACGAGCUGCAGCGGAUGAGGGGACGUAGGCGAUGGCCGCGGCGGCGGUGGGUUCCCAGGACCCUCGCUCGGCUGGCUCGAAGCCUGGAGCCUGUGAGCCAAGGUAUGCAAGCCGAGCCUGUCGAGCCUCACGAGCAGGUGCAUCGGAUGGCAGCAGUAGCCACGCGUCGCACAUCUAGUGGGUCCUCGUGGACAGAAGUUCGGGGACCGUUCCAUGGAAUUAUUUUCCGCCCUCCGCGGGCGAAAACGACGUUGCUGAAUUCAGAAAAAGCAUAAGUUCCAGGCCACAAUCACGGGAUUUCGAGCGCUUAAAAAAACACAGCGCACGCCUGCCACGCCUCGCACGCUGGCCAUGAGGCCAUCAGCUAGCUGCACAGUAUAAAUAGCACGCCUUGUCCUCUGCUUCCGACCAUCCUUCUUCGUCAGUUCUCUACUUGUUCUUCUUGCUAAUACUCCUCUGUGGGGCUCUGUGGCGCCUAAGCGAGAGCAAUGAGAGCGCUUGGAAGAGUUGUGUGGGCAUGGCUGCUGCUCCUGCAGUUAGCCGGGGCAUCCCACGUUGUCUACGAGAACCUCCUCGAGGUGGAGGCGGCGGCCGUGCCGCCGUCCAUCGUCGACCCCGAGCUGAGGACGGGGUACCAUUUCCAGCCCCCCAAGAACUGGAUCAAUGGUAAUGAAAAAGCCCUAAACCCUACCUACUGACAUGCUCAGGUAGGUGGUGCGUAUACGAGCAAGCAAUGCGUGUUGGCAACUUACUCCUGGCCUUCAGGCCUUGUGAGUGGCAACUUGUUGCUGGAGUGCUGGGGCGAGUGAAUGCGCUGCAGCUCCAGUCAAGUUGCCGCAUAGGAAAAUUCGUGUCCGCUCGACUGUUCAUACGGUGCACUGGUUUUAAUAACCACACCAUUCAUACGGUGCACUGGUUUUAAUAACCACGCCACCAGCUGACCAUCAGCUAGCUUCCUUUGCUAGAGUCCUGAGCUUCUGAUUACACGUCAAACACCGCGUAUUUCUGGAGUUCUCCAGUUCUUGCUUGCUCGUGCAAGUAUAAAUACCGGCCUCCACCCUCCCUUCUUCCUCUGCCCACCCUUCACUUUUGUACUGGUGCGCGUGAGGAAGAGCAAUGGGAGCGCACGGAAGGGAUGCUUCUUGGGCAUGCCUGGGGGUGGCGCUGCUGCUGGUGCAGCUCGCCGGGGCGUCGCAUGUCGUCUACGAGAGCCACCUCGAGACGGAGGCGGCCGUGCCACCGUCCAUCGUCGACCCCCGGCUGAGGACCGGGUACCACUUCCAGCCUCCCAAGAACUGGAUCAAUGGUAAAGCAAACCUCACAAACUUGCUGUGUUAUUGUGUUAUUGGACGAGGUAGUAAAAGGUGCAGCUUAAUUUUGAUUGCGUCUAGGGCACUCUAAAGGCUGAAGGAGCCAACAGUUCAGAAGUCUAGCUAGUGUUCUUCUUGUGCUGCAUAGAUAAGUCAGAGACAAGGUCAUGCAGACUAACAAGCCAGUUUUUUUUUAGGAUGAUAUAUUGAACAAUCUCCUGAAAUGAUCACUUGGAGCCCGAAUUAGUAAACUUGAUAUGACUGGUAGCUCAGACAUGCUUGUCACAGCAGAAAAUCACGCGCUGACAGUGCUGCUGUACGCUGGUUAACCCAUCAACUCAACUCUCUAUCAGAAAUCACGUACAGCACCCUCGAGAGUAUCAGACACUUGGUUUGCUUUUACGAAUUUAACAAUGGUUCUCGUUCCAAGGUUUGGCUCUAACUCGAUUUUCUAAUCUUCUCGGUGGGCUGCUUCUCUGCGAUCCGAUUGCGUCGGCGCCGGAACUUUUUGCAACACCAGAUCCCAACGGUACGUCGUUGUACCACCCUUUAAAUUUCCUCCCGUCAUCACGCAUCUGAUAGAUUAUUUUAGUAUAUUUAUAAAUGCCCUGCGUGCAACUUGCAAAUUCAUUUCCCGGCAGAAAACAGUGACGCCUUUUAUGACAAAAUUUCACCACAUGCAUUUAGCAUGCAAAAUGGCACACGCUGGGCCUCCACAUGUACGUAGCCAUGCUUGUCGACCAUGGUCGUUGGCUCCAAGCCUCCGACAGUGUCCACCAAUCAACAAAAGGCACAAUUUGUAUAAUGUCCUAAAGUUCGAAACAAGCAUCAUAUUGAAUGUUUUUUUUUCCUCUGAGGUUCUAAAAGAUUUUUUGGUUGAAUGAAACUACAGCUCCGAUGUACUACAAAGGCUGGUACCAUUUCUUCUACCAGUACAACCCCAAGGGCGCCGUGUGGGGCAACAUCGUGUGGGCGCACUCGGUGUCGCGGGACCUCAUCAACUGGGUGGCCCUGGAGACGGCGAUCGAGCCCAGCAUCCCGUCCGACCAGUACGGCUGCUGGUCCGGCUCGGCGACGAUCCUGCCCGACGGCACGCCGGUGAUCAUGUACACAGGCAUCGACCGCCCCAACAUCAACUACCAGGUCCAGAACAUCGCCUACCCGAGGAACAAGUCCGACCCGCUGCUCCGGGAGUGGGUGAAACCUGCGCACAACCCCAUCAUCGUGCCCGAGGGCGGCAUCAACGCGACGCAGUUCCGGGACCCGACCACCGCGUGGCGCGACGACGACGACGGGCGGUGGCGGUUGCUGAUCGGCAGCGUGGCCGCCGGGGGCGCCCGCGGCGUGGCGUACGUGUACCGGAGCCGCGACUUCCGGCGGUGGGCGCGGGUGCGGCGGCCGCUGCACUCGGCGGCGACGGGGAUGUGGGAGUGCCCGGACUUCUACCCGGUCGAGAGGGACGGGCGGCGCGUGGGGCUCGAGACGUCCGUGUCCGGCCGGCGGGUGAAGCACGUGCUGAAGAACAGCCUCGACCUGCGCCGGUACGACUACUACACCGUCGGCGCGUACGACCGGAGGGCGGAGCGGUACGUGCCGGACGACCCCGCCGGCGACGAGCGCCGGCUGCGGUACGACUACGGCAACUUCUACGCGUCCAAGACGUUCUACGACCCGGCGAAGCGGCGGCGCAUCCUCUGGGGCUGGGCCAACGAGUCCGACACCGCCGCCGCCGACGUCGCCAAAGGGUGGGCUGGGAUUCAGGUACAACGACGACUGCCGAUAUCUACUACGUGCACGAUGCAUGUCGCCAUAUUAGCCCCUAUUAAAAUCACAAUUCACAAAGAUCUCGACGUAAUAGAGUUCUUUCUGUUGUUGCUAAACUUUGUGCGCGUGUGACGUGGAUGAUAUCUCAGGCGAUCCCAAGGACGGUGUGGCUGGACCCCAGCGGGAAGCAGCUGCUGCAGUGGCCGAUCGAGGAGGUCGAGGCGCUCAGAGGCAAGUCGGUCACUGUCAAGGACAGGGUGAUCAAGCCAGGACAGCGCGUCGAGGUCAUCGGGCUACAAACUGCACAGGUUUGGCGUGCUUGUUAGGGAGUAUUUGGCUAAGGGGCUAAAAGUUUAGCCUUAUUACAUCGGAUAUUUAGAUACUAAUUAGAGUAUUAAAUAUACUUUAAUUAUAAAACUAAUUACAUAGAUGGAGUCUAAUUCGUGAGACGAAUCUAUUAAGCCUAAUUAGUCCAUGAUUUGAUAAUGUGGUGCUACAGUAACCAUUUGCUAAUGAUGGAUUAAUUAGACUUAAUAGAUUCGUCCCGCGAAUUAGCCUAGAGGUUCUGCAAUUAGUUUUAUAAUUAAUUCAUAUUUAGUCUUCCUACUUAGUAUCCGAACAUUGAGGGUUAAAUUUUAGCCACCGGUAUCAUACAGCUUGCGCAUUUUCUAACGAUUGAAAAAAAGAACAGCAGUAGUGCAGUACAAUAGCAGUAUAAUGCCAUCAAUGCCGUCCUGCAAAACUGCUCCCCUGAUCCGCACCCAGCGCGAUGUUAUCCUGGCCCGCUAUCUUAUCCGGCGCCAGUACUCUGCACGCACAAGUUGAUCCUGCCCAGUGCCCAGUUGCCCAGCAUGCUGUCCGUGCAGUACGGCAGCGCCCCCACUAGCCCCUCUGCCACGCCACCCGUGUCGCCUCCUCUAGUCCUCUUCCUGCCUUCUCCGCGCCUUUCGCCCUCGCCCGCCGUCAUCCGCGCAUACUUGCACGUGUUCUCUCUGGUCCCCGGGUGCGUCGCGACCUGGGCUGCGAACAGCGAAACCAACCAAACUAAACUUGGGCGUGCACGCGCUCCGGUUAAUUCGGCUGCAGGCUGACGUGGAGGUGAGCUUCGAGGUGUCGAGCCUGGCGGGCGCCGAGCCGCUGGACCCGGCGCUCGCCGGCGACGCGCAGCGGCUGUGCGGCGCCAGGGGCGCGGCCGUGGAGGGCGGCGUGGGGCCGUUCGGGCUGUGGGUGCUCGCGUCCGCCGACAUGCAGGAGAGGACCGCGGUGUUCUUCAGGGUGUUCAAGGCCGCCGGCAAAGACAAGCCCGUCGUGCUCAUGUGCACCGACCCAACCAAGUAAGUGCGCGCCCCGCGCCGGCGUCGAUCGAUCUCUCCCGGCCGGGUUGGUCUCAACCCUUGAUUGCACUGACUCUGGUUUCUUUUCCUUUUAUCCCUCUCGGACAGGUCAUCUCUGAACCCGAAUCUAUACAAGCCGACGUUUGCAGGUUUUGUUGACACAGACAUCUCAAAUGGGAAGAUUUCUCUGAGAAGCUUGGUACGCACAUAGUAGUACUCUAAGUAAACAAGUUUCAUGUAACAAGUCGGCGGUUCAUUUUUUCUCAGCCGUGUGACUGCAUUUUCUUUCUGCAGAUCGACCGGUCGGUUGUGGAGAGCUUCGGAGCCGGGGGCAAGACGUGCAUCCUCUCCAGGGUCUACCCGUCGCUCGCCAUCGGCAACAACGCCCGCCUCUACGUGUUCAACAACGGGAAGGCAGAUGUCAGGGUGUCGCGUCUGACGGCGUGGCAGAUGAAGAAGCCACUCAUGAAUGGCGCCUGACAAGAGCUUCCAUUGUGUCGAUCUGGUUCACAAAUUGGGAAGUGUUCCACACAAUUUCCGUGUAGAAUGGCUCCUUCGUACUAGAAUAGUACAAUACUACAAUUGUUUCGACUGAAACUUUUCAAGAAAAAAACACAAUGAUUUCGAUUGUGUUUUUAUUAGGGUAUGGAAAGUGCAGAUUUGUAUGCAUUCCACUACGAACAACAAUAAAUAUUCACAUAUUUGCGUGAUGGUUGUUGGAAUGUGAUCUCGAUUAAUCAUGGGGUAAUAAUUAAGUUUAAAUCCAAGAUUAAUUAAUGAUAGUCACCAUCCAAUUUAUUUUAAGUUACUCCCUCCCUUAGGUCGUUUUGACUUUCUAGGUUCAUAGAUAUUAUUAUGCACCUAGACGUACGAUAUAUCUAGAUGCAUAAUAAUAUUUAUGAAUAUAAAAAAACUAAAACGACCUGUAAUGUGAAACAGAGAAAACCACCUACAAUGUGGAACAGAGAAAAUAGUUGCAAUAGUCGGCUGCAACCCUAACAUACUGGGAGAGAGGCAGCUACAAUGAUCAAAUGAUAAGCUAACACAAACUCAUGGAUCUGCCACCGCCACUGGAGCAACAACGGCACUUCCAACUUCCAAGCAUGAAUCAAGAGAAAGAAUAAAACAAAGAGGUAACCCUAGAAUACAGAACAACAUCGAGAUCAAAGCAUCAACCCUAGGGAACGACAGGUCCCGCUACGGAUCAUUUUGAACCAAUGCCAAAAAAGUUGCUUACAAAUUCAACAGAUGUGAUACAGAUUUAGGAAGAUUAGCCCGUGCAUCAUCACAAUGAGUAUUGCAUAUCAAAAUGUCAGAUAUAGUGUUCGAGAUAUUACGCAAAGAUUACCGGCUAGUAAGGUUACUAAUGGGGCACCCAAUGUGAUAUAACUAGUUUAUAUCUCUAAGAAAACUGAAGAUAGGAUCUCCCAAAAAACUUCAAUUUAGAGAACAAGCUUAGGAAUUCAAAAUGGGUAUGCCCGUUACGCGAGUGCCAAAGUACUAUAUAUAAGGUCGAAAAUUUCCUCGCAUGCCACUAGUUAAACCAUAAAUUCCUCGCAUACUAUUGCCAUUGACUGCGAGUGGUCCCACAUGUCAUAGACACAUUGAUGGCAUAUGAGAGAUUAUAAAUUUUUUUCAAUGGUUUGUAAGGAAAUUCCCCAUAUAAGAUGGGGUGAGAAACCCUCAAGGGGCAAACAAAACAAGAAGAAAUAAACCAUAAAGGAUAUAGCGAGGUCGUAAUCAUCAAUUUUCUUGCAUGUAGUGCGAGGCCCAGCCCUUUUUCUAAGCGCAAAUGCGGCACCUUGAAUAUUUUCCAUCAUAUACAUUGAUUUAUUGAGUCCACAAGUCAAUGCCUUACCUAAUCUACCCUCUCCACACGCACGCACGCACGGAGGUAGUAGUAUUUCCAUUUCUCUCCCAGUCCCAUCCCCUGUCUCUCCAAUUCGAAGCCUUAUUAGUAAAAAAAGAAUUCCAUACAUUGACGACCAUAUGGGACAAACAGUGAUAAAAAUGAUGAGUUAGUAAAGCUACAAAGGCAUGAAGGGGGGGUUAGCAUGAUACUUUUGAUAUCCAGGAAUUAAUCGAGCUGUCCACGGGUCUCAAAUGGCUAACAGUUAACCAUGCACUGCAUUUAAAAACCAUACGGUUGAUUUGGAAUGCAUUCAGUUAUUAAAAACCAUGCUCUUGAUUUUGAAGACAACUAAUUUCAUAACUAAGAACACAACUAAUUUUAGGUGGUUAGAUAUUAAACUACUAGAUUUACAUAAUCUCAUAAUCGAGCUACAACCGAGCUAAUGGCAGGUAAUAAUGGAUACGGAAAAAACCAAUUAACACCACAACACCCACAACCAAAAAUCCGACCACUAAUAACCAAGGAUCUAAACAGGUCUCAAAUCAUUUUUUACUAUCCAACUUUUUAAAACCUAUACCUAUAAUCUAGAUUCUUAAUUAUAAUCUGUAGGUGAUCCAAUAAGGCUCUUCAUCAUGUCAUCCCUUUUUUUAAACUCAGUACUACAGAUGCUCGCAUUUUUCUAACGAUCUUGACAAUUUCAAGAUCUGUCGGCCCAUUCUCUCGGACGUGUUCAUAUACAUGCAUAUGUUCAUAGGGGUAACUGUGUUUGUACUGUGUUUUAAUUAAAAAAAAGAAUAAUAGUAGCACUACACAUGUCCUUUUCACCACACUCGGCGCAGCACGCUUCUCAUGUCAGCGCAUCGUGAACCCCUGCUGGACGUGAGCUGCAUGCGUCGAGUGGAUCUUGGGGAUCAUGUUGACGCUUUCUGUUGGUUAAUUAGGGUGCCGUAGCUGCUUGGACUGAUGGGUGAUGGCUUGCUGCAUGCAUGCGCCAUCCAGCUCUGUGCCUCGAUCUGUUUCUGCGAUGCAAGUCUAUCCAGUUAGUUGAGAAUCCUUUGCUGCGCGCGUGGACUAUGACAUGCAUGGAUAGUUUAUUUUCUGGAAUUUUUGCGUGCCCCGCGUUAGAUGCAAACCCCUCGUUCCUUAUAAAAGGGAAUCGAUCCUGCACUUCUUUGUUGUGUUCUUCAUUGAUCAUCCGUCAUCCAGUUAACGAUCGAGCUCGGUAGUGAAGUGCUCGUCUGCUGGCUGCUUUGUUAUUAGGAAUGGGACCGGCGGCAGUGACGGCACUACUGCUGCUGGCUCUGCUUACGAUCGUGCGUGCGUCGCACGUCGUGUACCCGGAGCUUCAGUCGUUGGAGGCGACGCAGAUCGACGAGACGUCGCGCACCGGGUACCACUUCCAGCCGCCCAAGCACUGGAUCAACGGUACGUGGAUGCAUGAGUCGUUGUGUUGUACUUGUCAGCCUUUGCAUAUUUUAUGUGCCAUUGUUAUUGAUUGGAGGUUGAUCUUACCUUUUUUUUUGUUCCUUUUGAUUUUUAUUUAUCCUGCGUUCUACCUCGCGCGAUUUGACGACGAUCAGAUCCGAAUGGUAUGCCCCUGCAUCGAAACCCCUUCAUGUACACUCGACUCAUAAGAAACACCACAAGAAUAACAAUGUGGUUUUUGUUUUUCGAUGUAACCAACUCGCGAUGGCACAUUGUCAUGCAAUAUUGCAAUGCACGGAUGCAGGGCCAAUGUACUACAAGGGGCUGUACCACCUCUUCUACCAGUACAACCCGAAGGGCGCGGUCUGGGGCAACAUCGUGUGGGCGCACUCGGUCUCGACUGACCUGAUCGACUGGACGGCGCUGGACCCGGGGAUCUACCCGUCGAAGCCGUUCGACAUCAACGGCUGCUGGUCCGGCUCCGCCACCUUGCUGCCCAGCGGCGUGCCGGUGAUGAUGUACACCGGCAUCGACCCGGACGAGCACCAGGUACAGAACGUGGCCUACCCCAAGAACCUCUCCGACCCGUUCCUCCGCGAGUGGGUGAAGCCCGACUACAACCCCAUCAUCUCCCCCGACGGCGGCAUCAACGCCAGCGCCUUCCGCGACCCGACCACCGCCUGGUACGGGCCCGACAGGCACUGGCGCCUGCUGGUGGGGAGCAAGGUGGGCGACAAGGGCCUCGCCGUGCUGUACCGGAGCCGGGACUUCAAGCGGUGGGUCAAGGCGCACCACCCGCUCCACUCGGGGCUCACGGGGAUGUGGGAGUGCCCGGACUUCUUCCCCGUCGCGGUGCACGGUGGCAGCCGCCACCACCGCCGCGGCGUCGACACCGCCGAGCUGCGCGACGCCGCCGUGGCCGAGGAGGUCAAGUACGUGCUCAAGGUCAGCCUGGACCUGACGCGGUACGAGUACUACACGGUGGGCUCCUACGACCACGCCACGGACAGGUACACCCCAGACGCCGGCUUCCCCGACAACGACUACGGCCUCCGGUACGACUACGGCGACUUCUAUGCGUCCAAGUCGUUCUACGAUCCGGCGAAGCGCCGCCGCAUCCUCUGGGGCUGGGCCAACGAGUCCGACACCGUCCCCGAUGACCGCAAGAAGGGUUGGGCUGGCAUUCAGGCGAUCCCGAGGAAGCUGUGGCUGUCGCCACGCGGGAAGCAGCUGAUCCAGUGGCCGGUGGAGGAGAUCAAGGCGCUGCGCGCCAAGCACGUGAACGUCAGCGACAAGGUCGUCAAGAGCGACCAGUACUUCGAGGUCACCGGCUUCAAGUCCGUGCAGGUUCGUCAAGUACUUUGUCUGAACACGAUCGACGCCCUUACGUUUCCACGUCAUCCCGUCGUAGGAUUCUUACUUGAAAUGUCCAUUCAUCAGUCGGAUGUGGAGGUGGCGUUCGCGAUCAAGGACCUGAGCAAGGCGGAGCAGUUCAACCCGGCGUGGCUCAGGGACCCGCAGGCGCUCUGCAAGAAGCGCGGCGCGCGCGUCACGGGCGAGGUGGGGCCGUUCGGGCUGUGGGUGCUGGCCGCCGGCGACCUCACGGAGAGGACCGCCGUCUUCUUCAGGGUGUUCAAGACCACCGGCAGCAAGCACGUCGUCCUCAUGUGCAACGACCCUACCAACUCGACGUUCGAGUCGCAGGUCUACCGGCCGACCUUUGCCGGCUUCGUCGACGUCGACAUCGCCCAGACGAAGACGAUAGCCCUCAGGACAUUGGUACGUAAAUGUUCUUGUAUAUACACGUAGAUUCGCGCGAGGUCUAACACUGUGAAUCAUAAAACUUUGGUUGCUCCGAUCCACUGCACGUAUGAACAAUGCAGAUCGACCACUCCGUGGUGGAGAGCUUCGGUGCCGGCGGCAAGACGUGCAUCCUGACGAGGGUGUACCCCAAGAAGGCCGUGGGAGACGACGCGCACCUCUUCGUCUUCAACCACGGCGAGGUGGACAUCAAGGUCGUGAAGCUGGACGCCUGGGAGAUGAAGACCCCGAAGAUGAACGCGCCGGCGCAGUAGCACGAGGACUAGUGGUGUGGUGGUAGCCCUAGCCGUAGCCGUACGUAGGUUUAACGUUAGCUGAGAUCGUCAAAGCUUCAGAGAAAUGCAUGGUCGGGUUCGUUUCGUUCAGAUCAUCUCACACCGCUCUCUCUCUCUCCAUCGCAAAAAUUGCAGCAUGCAGCACUCGGUGCAUGCACAAAAGUUUUGAUGGUCAGGAAUCAAUGUUCAGUUAUGGAAUUGUUUCAGUAUGAGCUACUACUAUCUUCCAUCUUAAUGCAAUGAUACGUAGCUUUUCUGCGUAUUUAAAAAAAAAGCUACUGCUACCUUUUUCCCAAAACCUUUGUGUGAUAUGGGGUUUCUCUUUCUUUUCUUUUUCUUUUCCUACUUUUUUAAAAAGCAAAGAAGGUUUUACUAUUAGUAGGAGAAAAUAAGAACAUGUGGCGGUUAUUGCACACAGUCCAUCCUAGCUACUGUCACUCAUUUCGCUCAUCUUUGGACCGGGCAGUUGUGAUCCAACAACAACACUUGACACUUCAGAAUGCAAGUAUAAGAAACUGUCAAAAUGCCAUGUAGAGUGACAAUUCUCGCAAAGAAAUGCCGGGUAAUUAGCAGGUUAGUUAGGGGCCAUGUCUGACUGCCUGAGCGCUAGCUAACCGUUAAUUACACCACUUCCAGUCUGUGGAUGCGUGGUGCAGUGUGGACUUGUGGUAGCAGUGCUUGUAAGUUGUAACUGCGAAUUAAACUUCAAAAUUUCAGGGAAAAUUUCAUCAAUGUCCUAAUAUUAUUCAAUAAGUAUACGGUAUCUUUGUUUUCUAUAACUCGUAUAUGAAAAAAAUUCUAAGUUGUCUCUGAAGUUUAAAAUCGGACACAGAAUUCGAAAAUAUUUUGUUUGGAUUGACCGAAUUCACGAAAUUUCCUCCUCCUUUUUCUCACUUCGCUGUACAUACCGGUGGUUGGCCCCAACGGGUAGAUGAGAUGGAAGAGAAGCGUCGAGGUGAGAACCUUUUGUCAAGUGCACUCUGUGCACCGGUAUACGUGUCUGGCCCAUCUGAACUUCCGUGCAAAACUGAAAAGAAACACCCCCAUGUUCCUGUACUUCAGCACUGUGGAUGCUCCUAGUCGUUAACGAGUGGCCGUGCUACUGUACCCAAGGUCAACUAGAAUGGAAUGCCAACGAGACAUGCAGCGGCACCGAAUGGAAAGAACUUAACAAAGCCGUGCGAGCCAAAUGAUGAUGAGGUCACCUUGAUGUCAUCUGCCUCUGCGCCCAACGGACCGCGGAACAGAGUAACGCGCCUCCGGUCCGGGGCGCUGAUCCUGUGCUUCCCCUCUCUUCAGCAUGCAUAUAGUUGCAUACACGAGUCACAGCCAAACGGACGCACAUCUCCGACGCGACGCGACCGAUCGACGCUGCAGCUUUCCAUCGGAGUUCGGCACGCGUCGCACCGCGCGCGCGCACACUAGCUAUGAGAUCGCGUAGUGGCGGCCCCCACCGUUCCGGCAUACUCCUAUGCAACACAGUGGUCACGGCCGGCCUCGGCGCCAUGCAAGUGUACGCCACGCCAAACCCCGAUCGGCAGCCGUACGCGAUCGAAUCGAGGCGCACCGAGACAUUGCCAACAAGGGCCCAGCCCGUUCCGGCGAAGUGGAGCGGCGCAGGCCGAGGCGGCGGGGACGGCAGGAUCCAGCGAGUGGGUGAGCACGUACGGCAACGCCGGACGAGUCACGGCCGACGCGACAGCCACCACACUGACGGCGCGAGUUGGGCAACCGACCUGCCCGCCAGCCCGCAACUCGGGUGUCGGCGCCGGCGACCGGAGGGGGAUUGUGAAAGCGCGCAGUGCGCGGGAGAUUCUGGGAGGAAGAGGAGGACAUCGUGUGGCCGCCAGCUCGAAGAUGCCCGUGCCCGUGCACCCCCACCACCAGUUGACGAGUAGGUGAGCCAGAACUAGAAGCCGCACACUUGCACGCGCGCCGCCCAGAAUCUGCUUUGCUGGUGGCGGUCCGAAGUUUUUCUAGAUAAAGGCAAAUCCGGCCUCAACUGAAUAUAUUCACUUACAGCCAAUUUAGAACGCAGCACUUAGGCUGCCCACACUAAAGAGCUAAGCAUCCCUAAAUAGAGACAACCGAUACAAAAGAUACACUCAAAACACUAGGCUUGAAGUCUUCUUCUGUUUUUCCAUCCAAAGUUAUUGAAGAUCUCCAUGAUAGUGAUCUCCAACUUGCUGCAACUUGCUUUCAGAGUAUUUUCCUCUUCCUCCUUAGAGAGGAGCGUCCCACUCCUUGUCCAAUAAGUUCUCCUGAAAAUAACCUGAAAAAUGAGUUAGGAAUUGUAUUUUGGAGGUAAUGAUUUGGUUUUCCGAGGAAAACGAGACGGUGACGGGGGGCGAUCCAGUUCGGUCUCGGUGGAGUUCGCGGCGGCGGUGACCUGUGAGAUGCUGCAAUCGUACGACCACCAGUGCGGUGGAGAGGUGGUGGUGGAGGGCGAUACUGUCCCGUGCUAUCGCUGUUCACUUUCCUUAUCGGGAGGGGGCAAAUUGGCGUAGCCAACCUGCAUGUCGUUCCGGCUCUCGUUUUGGUGGUGACACUGAUAGUCCCCGAUCCUGCCCAUUCUGCAGUACAGGGAUGUGCGAUCGGGCCAGCACCUUUACGAAGAUGCACGGCUAGUGGGUAUGGGAGGGUUGCAACGUGUCGAGGAACAGGCGCUGAGUGAGGCACACGCACGAUGCCCUUGGCCUGUUGCUGCGUACAGGCCGGAGAGGUUCUGCUUUGCGCUAGUGCACCGAAGGAGGAUUGGAUUGGAUUAAGCUGAACUCCGAUGGCUUGUUUGACUCAGAGUCUAGCUCAGGAGCUGCUGGUGGAUGGGUGCUUCGUGAUUGUCAAGGUUUGGUUGCUGCUGCUGCAGCCUAUUGUUAGCUGUGGCGCAGGGACAUCGUAAGGUGAUCCUGGAAGUCGACCUCACAACCCUCGCAAAGGAUCUACGCUCGGCGACGGAGGAUCGAUCGCCAAUUUCUGGUCUUCAGCAUGAAACCUUAGAGCUAAUCAGGUCCUUUUGUGGGUUUUCUAUUUCUUUUGUUCAAAGGGAAGCCAACUCAGUAGCACAUUCAUGUGCGAGGAUGGUUUCACUUGUAAAAACCUGAAUACUCCUGAAUCAGCGUUACUCCAAACUGGGCUGACAAAGCUCUUGUAUCCUGCAAAAAUAAAAGUUUUGCUGUGUUUCUUCGCUUUUUUUAAAAAAAAAUCCAUUUGUAGGAGGCCUCCGAGUAAAGAAAAGACCAGAUACGCGAAAUGGGCUUCUCACGGGCUGAACAGCCCAGCGGUUCACUCGUCUCACGUGCUCAAGCCUCGAGGGACACUGGAUAGGAACAUUUCGGAUAGCCCAUGUCCCGUGAUACAGUGUGUAUUUAACUUUUUCGGUAAUGCUAAGCAUCAAACGUCCGAGGCCAGACUCCCCCGCCGGACGCUUCAUCCACGAUCCACCAGACGAGUCCACGUAAGCACACAACGAUCCACCAGACGAGUCCACGUAAGGCUCCGUGGCUGCCUCCAGAUCCUCGGGCACCACAUCUCCACCUAGCUCCUAGCGUUGAGGUGAGGCACCCGGCGGUAGUUGGCCACCGCCACCGUUGGGGACGAAUUCUGGAGCAGCAGAUCGGCUACAAGUGUCAUUGGAGGUGAUUCCGCCUUAGGGCAGUAUGCCCUAAGGGGCGAAGCCAUGUUAGACUUGCUGAGUGCACAACCAACAGAAAAAAAAUAAAAUUUUAGAGAUUAGCACUUAAUUUUCACCACUUGUGCACUCCAUGAACUCCGAUGCAUGCACCACCAUGCGCUUGCAUACUUUCUUUGCAGGCAGGAUAGCAGCAAUAAACAAAUGGGGAAGUUCAAAGCAUUGUAACAGAAAAAGCCCACACGGACGGGCCAGUGGCCGUCUGCUAACAAGCAAAGUGUGUCGCGCACAUGACGAGCAAGAGUUGCACUAGUACAAAAACGACCUUCCAUCCUCAACAAAAUCUCAGUUGUUUUUGGACCCGGGACUGAAGAGGAUUUAGUCCCUGGUCUAAAUUUUGUAGUCCGUGGAGACACCUUCAAUCCCGGUUGGUGUUACCAACCAGGACUAAAGGAGAUCUUUAGUUCCAGGUGAAAGACCUGGGAGUAAAGAUGGGGACCUUUAGUCCCGGUUGGGAAAACCAAGAUAUAUGAGGUUUUCCAACCGGGACUAAUGCUCAUUUUUCUACCAGUGUUGCACAAGAAAGCUAAACGACACCCGCGAAUUACGGUUGCUCAAAAUGCAAAAACUUCAUCGCCCAGGUUCCAAAUCGCAAGUGGCGAAAGAUGGGGAGGCAUCAUUCACUCAUUGUCGGUCGCUGCAGCAAGCCUCCUCGUCGGAUCGGUGCCCACGGCCUCAAGCUGCUCGUAAACUUCCUUUUCUAUUUCUCUCCGCUGCAGCAUCCUCCCGGAAUCUUGUUUUGCUCCAAAUUUUAAUGGUAUGCAACUAAUUUUCUACACGAAUAUUUUGGGUGCAAAUCGAUUUGUUUGAAGUAAUAAGGUAGUGUUUCAAUUUUUUUGUCACCAAUUCUGGUUCAUUCAUUUAAAUUGCAAUGUUAGGAUCUACAUUUAGAGGUUUUGCUUUUGCAAAUUGCAACAAAUGGGCAACUAAGAAAGGAUCCAUCAAUAUUUGAGACUUGGGGAAUUGGAGUAAUAUACAAAAUCAUGUAAUUGGGGAAUUGGUGUAAUAAAAUUGGAAAUAUGUAUUUUUCAUCUCUUAGGUAUUUUGGAAGUGUCCCUCAUGUUUUAAUUGGUGUAAAUUGAUCCCUUAAUUUAUUAUAUCGGUGCACUAAUCAUCCUAACACUUUUUCCUACAAUAUUUGGUCAGAUAAGCAUUUUUUCCGUUACCGCUUUGUCAUUGUAUAGGUUAGACAUAGAUUUUUAUACAUGUACGUAUUGAAGUGUGCACCCAGAUCGUCCAUGCUCUAGCUUCACCCCUGGGGGCAGUGGAGCAACAGGAGGCGACAAAGAAGGAGCAAGAUGUAGCUGCUCGCAUUCUCAUCACCACGGCCCUCUGCCGGUGAGGGUGCCAUGCCCUCUCCUUCCUCUCGUCUUCCCUAUCUCUCUCUCCAAGAAUAUUGUAUUUUUUCAAUGUUGCAAUGGAUGAUUGGAGAUGUUGGGUGUUCGCAAAUGUUGCACGAGAUGAUCUUUGACGUUGCGAGGUUGAUUUUUAGUUUGUUUUAUUUCCACAUUCGAUUUUUUGAUGCUACAAUAGUUAGCCUGAGAUAUUGCAUUGGAGAUACUUUGAUGUUGCAUGGCUGAUAGACGGUGAUUUUGUUCUGGAAUCGAAACGAUGCGAUAGUAAAAUUAGCGAUGUUGCAUCAGAUGAUUUUUGAUGUUUCAUAUAGUGAUUUAAGAUAUUACAAUAGUUGGUUUGGGAUGUUGCACCUUACAAUGCUGCAACAAAUAGCAUAGCUGAAUGUUGCACGAAACAUGCUACAUAUAUGUUGCGGUGGGGUAUUUUUUUCUAUAUGGCAAAGAUAUGAAAGCAAUGAGGUAUUUUGAUGUUGCGAACGCUGUUAUUUUUUUUGCAAACGUCUUUUUCCCGUGUCGUAGAAGUUGUUUACUCGUGUUGCAAGGAAGUGAUCGUGAGAUUUUACGCUGUUAUUUUUUUUGCAAACGUCUUUUUCCCGUGUCGUAGAAGUUGUUUACUCGUGGUGCAAGGAAGUGAUCGUGAGAUUUUUUCAGGAAACCACCUUCCGAUGCUAGCGCCCGGACGCUAGCAAGUCCGUAACUUUUUUUCAUAGAACUAUGCGCUCGUGCAGUUUCACACAUGCUUCAUCGAGCACUAAGGAGUGAACCUUAGUAUUGCUCAGCCGAUCGAAUGAUCGAUCAUACUACGUCUGCAUGUCGAGAAAGUAGAUACUCUGGUGUGCAAACAAGAGGGGGACACUUCGCAGAUUACUAACAAAACAGCUAACUUAUAACAUGGAGAAUGUGCAGCCAAAAGCAGGCCAGCAACUCGUUCACGAGGAAAAUGUUAAGACCAUCCGAUACAAGGUAGCUCAAAACUUAUAAAUCCAUGAAAUCUGUUGCUAGCAUCACAAACAAAGCACAAAACAGGUUGCACGGCCAGGUUGCGUCUGCUUCUGCACGAAAUUACAGCCUCCUUCCCCUCCUACCACCCUUCCUUCGCGUGCUGUCAGUUGGGACUGGAGUCACAUCCUCUGCAUAACAAACAACACAGGGGAUGGUGAAACGGUUAAUCUUAAGUCGAAAUCAAAAAGGAAAGUAUGAGUUCAUGAACACUAGUGGCAGCAUGCAAACCGGAGGAUAAGAAUGUGUGAAUCCCAUUGUGUGACAAAUUUGCAUUUUGCACAGAAACAGGAAGGGAAGAACCACUAACAUCAAAUGCAGAUAAAAUGCUUCAUUGAUUUCUUAUUAAUUAAAAAAUAUUAACAGCAUGCUCACCAAUGCGUCCAAUCUUCAUGCCAGAACGUGCAAGAGCCCUAAGCGCAGACUGAGCACCAGGGCCCGGAGUCUUUGUCUUGUUUCCACCAGUAGCACGGAGCUUAAUGUGCAGAGCAGUGAUUCCAAGCUCCUAAGGAGGGCAUAUGCACAGUAAGUAUCAAACAACAGUUGACAAAUCAAUAUUUGAACUAGCAGCUCGGUACCUUGCAUCUCUGUGCAACAUCCUGAGCUGCAAGCAUAGCUGCGUAAGGGGAUGACUCGUCACGGUCAGCUUUGACCUUCAUGCCACCUGCCAAAAAAGAUUAUGAAAUCGUGAAUGUAAAUUAGUAAUAUAAAAUAAGUCUGACAGCAUUCGACAAAGUGUGAUUAUAAGGAUCUAUGCACUUGACAAAGUGUGAUAAAAUUAUAAUGGAACCAAAGUUAAUGUGAAUUGCAAGGCAACUACAGAAAAUAUCUUGUAAUGUAAAAUACAUGACCAACAUAGCAUAUAUCCACCAUCCACUUUCACACAGUUUUGGGAAUGGGUUAGGAGAUAUAUGCCACAAAACAAAAAUAUUCACUUUGCUGGCCUGUCAGCAAUCUGCUGGGCAAUAUGGAAAACUAGGAAUGCAGUUUGUUUUGAGAAAAAACAGAUUAAACCUCCUACAGAGGUUGUCUGCUUAGCUUCUUUUUUUAUAUCAUACUGGGCAGGCCUCCAGAAGCAGGAUGACAAGCAGGACAUGGAGGCGGGAGCAGAAGCGCUGAAGGAGGCGGCGCUGCACUUCCAUCCUCGUGAAGGAACAGUGGAAGACACGGGUUCAGGGGUGGUGCUGCUGCGUUGAAAGAAAAGGAUGGUAGCUCGCGCCCACUGCUUUCUGAAGAGUAGCCCCCCAGCUGUUGAGCUGAAGGAGGCGGCGCUGCACUUCCAUCCUCGUGAAGGAACAGUGGAAGACGUGGGUUCAGGGGUGGUGCUGCUGCGUUGAAAGAAAAGGAUGGUAGCUCGCGCCCACUGUUUUCUAAAGAGUAGCCCCCUAGCUGUUGAGCUGCUUUUGUUUCUCUUUUCUUCUGGUAGUUACUGGUGGAAUUCUUGUAAUCCAGAGUAGGUCCCUGGUGAAUGUUCUUCUCCAACCGGGUCAGCCCUUUGUGUCUGUCAUGCUGGUUACUUUCUUUUCAGGUGUAGAGUCACUGUGUGAACCUGUGACGUCUGUUCUAAAACUCUGUAAUUUCGUUGCUUGUUGGUAAUAAAAUUCGGGCGAGGCCCUUAGUGGAAAAAACAUAGCAUAUAUCAUCUAUAAACCAAAAGGUCAAACGAAGUUAAUGUGAAUAGAAACCAAAGCUACAAAGAUGUAGAAGUAAUCAGAUUGCAGAAUUAAGGAACAAAAUAGGAUAGUUAUAAUCAGGUUAAAGAAAGUACAGGCAGCUUAAUCAGGUAAAGUUGACCGAGUAAACAAAACCAAUCAGCCAGCUGAAAUCAUUCUGAUGAUCUAGUAAAAUACACUGAUCAGCUUAGUUACUCAAGGACCAGUCACAUUGUCAACAACCAUCAAGAAAAAAGUGCACUACAAAUUCCUAAGAAAAUUCACACUAAGAUACAAGCUUAAGACAUGAAAUAUUAUCCAGCUUUGCUCCAGUAGAAGCACAUACCUCUGUACUACCAUCUACUGGAUACCAUUAUUAUACAUAUAAAAAGGCUGACAAAGGUGCAAAGCUAAAUUCUUUUCAAACAGAAGGAUACUUUGUGAUGUUCACUUCAAUUAAGCCUACCACUUAAUGUACCAAAGGUUUGCAAGGGAUAUGGAGAGGCAACACAGAAGAGCAGCAGCAUGCUGACGCUUCCUAAAGGAAAUGCAAUGCUAAGAUGGAGACACCUGGAACUAAAUGUGCAGACAAAGAAAAGAUAAAAACUCUGGUAGAUCUUGUGAAUUUUAACAUGGCUUGACAUGCUACCACAAAAUGAAAGCAAACCAUCUUAAAAGGCACACUUGCAAAUAAUAUUGACAACCAGAAAAAUCAAACACUGAUGGCAAGAACAAGUGACUUGGGAAGAUCUGUGAUGGCUUUGUUAACAUUGCAACCUUGCGCGAAGGAUACAGCUGGCAGCAUGUCACAGCAUGCACCACCAGCUCUGGUUUAAAAGGUAAGGAGGAAGAGAAGUGGGUGGCUGGGAGAUUGUAUGGUUUGGUCACACAUUUCAGUUAUUGUAUAACUAAACAGGAUAAAACUUGACAACUGUGAGGUUUAGUUGAAAAGGUUUUACUUACCUACUAUAGAUAUAGAUACAACUAUACAGGUGAAAAAAAAAUCAUGGAAUUCUGUCUGAAAACAUAUUCACUUCCAAAACCAAGACAUCUCCAUUUGACUUGGCAAAGAGUUGCGGGAGUGAUGCACUCAGCAGGAGCAUUGCAGAAAGCAGUGACUACCUACUGACCAUACACUACAGGAAACUCAAUGCCAGGAUGAAGACACCUGGAACUGAAACAGGAAGAGAAGUAGUUACAGAGAAAAACUCUCUGCAACCUGGUGGUCAAUUUUGCAUGGCAAUGACUCGACACGCUCCCACACAGAAAAAGGGAGGCGAUCUUAAGGGCCAUGCAUACAACGCAAACUCACAAGAUCAGUGACUAAAACAGCAAACUUUAAGUAUGUAAUAUCACAAAUAAAAGAUAAUCAAUAUCCUGUGGCUAUACAACACAUACCUCAAUGCAACAAAGUAUCAGAAGUUUUGUAACAAAGAAGCAUCACAGACUGUCAUGGCACAUACUAACAAAGGACAACGCCUAGCAUAUAGGGCCUAGCAUGGUCCUCUUUGGAGAAUAGUAGUCCCAAGGCUAAACCACCAAGUCACUGGCACACUUGUAUGUAAAUUAAAACUACCUCGUUGAAUUGCUUUCCAGGUGUGCAAGAAUUCCAACCUUCACCCCUAGCUACCAGUACAUGAUAAGCUACCUUAUUAUCUUACAAGCUACAACAUCAACAAAACAUUUCAGGAGAUAAAAUAUAGAUUGCACCAAAGAGCACCAAGCAUUCCAAAUCCAGAACAGCAACUCUUACUCUAAAUGAUCAUGAAUCAUGUCCAUAACGCAUGGUCUAGCCACUCAGUACAACACAAAUGUCAUACGCAAGGAUCCCACUUCACAUAACAAAGAAGAUCAACAGAAGCACCAAUUACUACUAGUGUGGUUGAUUUUACACUAGUGUUGCACACAACCAGCAAGACUAGCAUUAGUGAUAACGAUACCAACUUUAUGACAAAAGCCAGCGUUUCCAGAAGAGGAUUUAUUAC
RNAcentral lists this long non-coding RNA (35456 nucleotides) under Setaria italica (foxtail millet). RNAcentral's name for it is "long non-coding RNA (SITA_LNC005230)". Lineage: Eukaryota; Viridiplantae; Streptophyta; Magnoliopsida; Poales; Poaceae. The record is from RNAcentral.